GACCGCUCCGGUGGCCUGGUGGUUAUAGUGUCCACCUCGGAUGCGAGAGGUCAUGGGUUCGAUCCUCUGCCGAGUCA
Non-coding RNA from Potamilus streckersoni, 77 nucleotides. The record is from the annotation of a GenBank genome assembly. NCBI's taxonomy places the organism in Eukaryota, Metazoa, Mollusca, Bivalvia, Unionida, Unionidae.